Molecule: ribosomal RNA, 710 nt
Filed under: uncultured marine eukaryote
Lineage: Eukaryota
Description: SSU rRNA
Rfam family: Eukaryotic small subunit ribosomal RNA
Source: RNAcentral
GUUAAAAAGCUCGUAGUCGGAUUUCGGGGCCUGCCGAGCGGUCUGCCGAUGGGUAUGCACUGUUCGGCGCGUCCUUCUUUCCGGAGACUAAUUCUACUCUUAACUGAGCGGAAUUGGGAGACGGAUCGUUUACUUUGAAAAAAUCAGAGUGUUUCAAGCAGGCAGCUCGCUCUUGCAUGGAUUAGCAUGGGAUAAUGAAAUAGGACUCUGGUGCUAUUUUGUUGGUUUCGAACACCGGAGUAAUGAUUAACAGGGACAGUCAGGGGCACUCGUAUUCCGUCGAGAGAGGUGAAAUUCUCAGACCAAUGGAAGACGAACCACUGCGAAAGCAUUUGCCAGGGAUGUUUUCACUGAUCAAGAACGAAAGUUAGGGGAUCGAAGACGAUCAGAUACCGUCGUAGUCUUAACCAUAAACCAUGCCGACUAGGGAUUGGAGGGUGUUCUAUUCGACCCCUUCAGCACCUUACGGGAAACUAAAGUCUUUGGGUUCCGGGGGGAGUAUGGUCGCAAGGCUGAAACUUAAAGGAAUUGACGGAAGGGCACCACCAGGAGUGGAGCCUGCGGCUUAAUUUGACUCAACACGGGGAAACUUACCAGGUCCAGACAUUGUUAGGAUUGACAGAUUGAGAGCUCUUUCUUGAUUCGAUGGGUGGUGGUGCAUGGCCGUUCUUAGUUGGUGGAGUGAUUUGUCUGGUUAAUUCCGUUAACGA